AAUUCCGUAAAAGGAUAUGAGGAUGCUCAGUCCAUAAAAGGGUAUGAGGGUGCUCAGGACAUCCCCCCACCUCGCAGGCCUCUCCUGACAACAGUUCCUGGGAAAAUGGCUUGGAAGGCCAUAGAAUCCACAGUUUUGGGCUACACCCAUCCAGUGAGGAAUCGGUCCCAGCUGUUCUAACUAGGACACUGUGUCCAUCAUCGCUGCCAUCAUCAUCAUCAUCGGCCUCGUGGGAGUCGGUGUCUGGAAGCUCCGAUCCGGUAACUCCCGGGAUGGGGGUCGGGAAGGGGCACGGAUCCGCCCGGCAGCAUUCCGGGGAUCCUGUGCCACGGGUGCUGAUCCCGCUUUCUUUCCAUAGGGAAGAGGGAGGGGAAUGGAUACGACCCCGCGCCCACCACAGGAAUCACAGCCUGAGCGAUCCCGGAGCUGGAUCCGCCCCUUCCCUCUCCCUGUGGAAAGGCAGGAGCUGCUGGUAGAGCUCAUCCCGCUGCUCCCACCCACCCCGGCCCCCCUGCGGCUCUUCCCGAUGGAUCAACUUCCUGCUUUUUCCCGUGUGAAACCCAGGACCACAAUUAUUCCUGAGGCUUUAAUUUGGGUGUGAAAAUCUCCUGCUUUGGGCAAUAAAUCCUGGCUCCCUC
This is a long non-coding RNA of Pseudopipra pipra, 638 nucleotides long. RefSeq lists it as uncharacterized. The transcript has 2 exons. Lineage: Eukaryota; Metazoa; Chordata; Aves; Passeriformes; Pipridae. The record is from RefSeq and is a predicted model, not a curated record.